CAAUAGCGUAUAUUAAAGUUGUUGCGGUAAAAAAGCUCGUAGUUGGAUUUCUACCGAAGAUAGCCGGUCGGGUCUUCGACCUUGUAUCUGGUUUUGUCUUUGGUAUCCUCAUAGGGAACGUUUCUGCGCUUUAUUGCGUGGUGCGGUAUCUAUGACUUUUACUUUGAGGAAAUUAGAGUGUUCACGGCAGGCAAACGCCUUGAAUAUAUUAGCAUGGAAUAAUAACAUAGGAUCUUCGUCCUAUUUUGUUGGUUUCUAGGGCUAAGAUAAUGAUUAAUAGGGAUAAUUGGGGGCAUCUGUAUCAACGCGUCAGAGGUGGAAUUCUUGGAUUGCGUUGCGACAAACUACUGCGAGAGCAUUUGCCAAGGAUGUUUUCAUUGA
Molecule: ribosomal RNA, 381 nt
Filed under: uncultured eukaryote
Lineage: Eukaryota
Description: partial 18S ribosomal RNA
Rfam family: Eukaryotic small subunit ribosomal RNA
Source: RNAcentral